Molecule: long non-coding RNA, 7658 nt
Filed under: Triticum aestivum (bread wheat)
Lineage: Eukaryota; Viridiplantae; Streptophyta; Magnoliopsida; Poales; Poaceae
Description: long non-coding RNA (TAES_LNC003787)
Source: RNAcentral
GCUGCUCACUGGAAAUAAAAGGCUGGACAAAAAUGUAGAAAUGUUAUUAGCUGUUGGAGAUUUUGCUAAUAAUUUUGACCACCAAAGACAUGAAUUAAAGAUCUGAGUUGAGUUUAAGAAGCGAAAAUGAUUCCCUUUAUUCUUAUCCAUAUAUGUAGCACAUAGCACCACACAUGAUGAGCGCGCGGAGCUCGUCCUAUAUGCAUAUAUGCAUGUCACACAUGUAUGGUCGCAACAUGCUUAUUUAUUCAUGAGCGAGAGAAUUGUCUCUAGCUCCACUGAGACUCCUCCAUAGCGAGGCAGUACGGAGUGUUGUGAACGGUCGUCAAGUUGCAGUACCCCGGCGUGACGAGUAUCCUCACGAAGUCCAUCUGCACCUCCCUAGGGCAUCCGGGGAGUUCCAUGAGGCCGCUCUGAUCCGGACGAGACUUCGGCCCCAUGAAGUAGCGCAGCGCCUGGCAUCGGCACUGCUGCGGAAUGUUUGCAAGCUCCCCACAGCACUGCUGCUUGGCGAGGUACGGCGACCCGGGCGUUUCGAUGCGACAUGCUUGUUGUUCCACAUAGUCACGGCAGCUUGGGAGUGGAGUGAUCAGAGUACUCAUCCAUGGGGUGCAAUCUUCAUUGCCGAUGGCGGCAACGGCGGCAAAGAUGGAGACUAGGACGGCGGCCAAGAGGAGAACGCAGUUGGACUUGGACGCCAUAUUUGUUUUGACAGGCCCAGUUCGUUGGUAUAGGUUUGUUUUGUCACUGCGCUGGUGGGUGUAUGCUACACGUACCACACUUGCAUGUAUAUAUACUCCUAGAAAGGUAUAAGAAAAGCAGAGCUGGUAGCAAUUAACUAAAUUUGUAGUGUUAUAUGAUGAUUAUGAUGAGCUAGAGUGCACUUAAUUAAUUAGUUGGAACCGAAUUUGGAGGGGAAUGCAAGCUGGCUUUUGCCUGUAAGCAGUGAGAGAUUCCUAGCCGCUAGAGCCUGCCAUGGUUGAUGUGGCAUUCUUUUCUUCUCUUGUCUAGUUGUCAUCAGUACUUAAAAGUGGAGCAUCAAUUAAGCUUGCUAGUUUAUGCGUGAGACUGUAGCUAAACCAACAACGGACUUUGUUUUUGCAUGCUGUGAUAGAGCAAACAUGUGGCUAAUUUUUUUAAAUAAUACAUUUUUCUAAUUAAUUUGCAUAAAUAUUACGCCGAUAUUUUUAUUUUUAAAAAUAAUAAAACAUCGGCCCGCUGCAGGCCGACUGAGUCUAGUCGGCCCACCGCAGGGACUAAUUGGCUUGCUGGGAACCAAUUAGUCCAGUCGGCCUCAGGCCGACUGGAAGCCAAUCGGCCUGCGAUGGGCCGACUAGGUGCAUUUGGCCAUUUUUGGUUUUAGUUGUUGUUUUCUAUUUACUCUAGCUAUCAAAUGAAUAUAGUUUGUGUUGAAACUUUUUGCAUAAAUUACUAGCAAUAUUAACAAGCCACAUAUAAAUUUUCAUAAUUUUUGGAAAACCACAUUUUUACAAUUGUAUUUGAUAGCUCCUGGUGAAUAUAGAUAGGGUAUAAAUUUAUCUAUCCAAAUUGUUUUUUUAUUUUUAUAGAUGUUAAAAUAUCGAGGAGAAUAAUUUAAAUUUUUUUGUGCAACAAUUUGAGAAUACUUUUUUUGGUUUAUGAAACAAUUUGAGAAUUUUCCUCAAACUGUUUCACAAAAAUUGUUUCAUAUUGUUUCAAAUUGUUUCAUAAGCCAAAACAAAUUCCUCAAAUUGUUUCAAAAAAAUGUUAAACCAUUCUUCUCAAUAUUUUAAUAUUUAUAAAAAUAAAAAAAUCAAUUUGGAUAAUUAAAUUUAAACCCUAUCUAUAUUCACCAGGAGUUAUCAAAUGUAAAAAUGUGGUUUUCCAAAAAUUAUGAAAAUUUAUAUGUGGCUUGUUAAUAUUGCUAGUAAUUUAUGCAAAAAGUUUCAACAGAAACCAGAUUCAUUUGAUAGCUAGAAUAAAUAGAAAACAACAACUAAAACCAAAAACAGAAAAAAAAAUGGCCACAUGCACCUAGUCAGCCCACCGCGGGCCGAUUGGCUUCCAGUCGGCCCGCAGCAAGCCGACUGGAACUAAUUGGCUUGCUGCGAACCAAUUAGUGCCCAGUCGACUUGUUGCGGGCCGACUGGAGGCCAAUCAGCCCGCGGUGGGCCGACUAGGCUCAGUCGGCCUGCAGCGGGCCGAUGGUGUAUUAUUUUUGAAAAUAAAAAUAUCGGCGUAAUAUUUAUGCAAAUUAAUUAAAUAAAUGUAUUAUUUAAUAAAAAAUAGCAAACAUGUGACGGCAGUGUGGGUGAGCAACUUUGCAAAGCAUUGUUUUGGAAGGGCGGAUAGGGGCCAGUCAACCGGCCCAAAAUUCGGCCGGUCACCGCGCAGCCAUAGGAUCCUCACGGCCGUGGCCGUCUGAUGCGUUUCCCAUCAUCCUUUGACUCUCCCUCUUCGCAUAUGAAAAAGGCAAGCACACAAAAAAAAUGGCAGCCACCCCUCCCUCUCCCCAUGGCGAUGGUGGCGUCGACGGUGUCGCUCGCAACCAAAAAGUUAGGGUAGCAAAACAAAAAUGCUGGUUGUUCCAGCAAAAGUAGAAGACGGUGGUAGCAAAAAAUUAGUCUGCCUCCAGCAAAAAUCAACAGACAGUAGCAAUUUUCUAUUUGGUUCUAACAAAAUCAAAAGAAGGUAGUAGCAAAAAUUGAGGCAGGCUCCAACAAAAAAUUUUACCUCGUCGGCUUUCCAGCAAAAAGAAAUUUGGCCGCCGGUGGUAGCUUUCCCGCUCGCGGUUGCAACAAAUUCAUAGCCCGUCAUCGCCAGUCACACUUCAUCAUUUCCUGGUUGUAGGAAAACCGGGCGCCGAUGGUAUCUUUCCUCGUUGCCCCUUGCAGCAAAAGUCGUGGCGCCGGCCACGCUGGCCUGGUAGUAGCAAAUCCGGUUGUUGAUGGUAGUUUUCUCAGUUGCCCGUUGUAGCAAAAACCACGGCGCCGUCAUAGUCGGGCACGCUUAUUGUCGCUUUGUUGCAGCAACUUCGGCCACUGGUGGUAGCUUUCCUGGUGCCGGUUGCAGCGAAUCACAUCGCCAGUUGCAGUGUCAGCACCGGUGGCCACCACCUCCNNNNNNNNNNNNNNNNNNNNNNNNNNNNNNNNNNNNNNNNNNNNNNNNNNNNNNNNNNNNNNNNNNNNNNNNNNNNNNNNNNNNNNNNNNNNNNNNNNNNNNNNNNNNNNNNNNNNNNNNNNNNNNNNNNNNNNNNNNNNNNNNNNNNNNNNNNNNNNNNNNNNNNNNNNNNNNNNNNNNNNNNNNNNNNNNNNNNNNNNNNNNNNNNNNNNNNNNNNNNNNNNNNNNNNNNNNNNGGACGACCAUGGCUUCCCCGGGUUGCAUCAGCCCCUGAGUAUUCCUCGCAACGGCGGUGUACGCGGUGGGGGCAAUCGGCUGCCAACCCGCCCAUCUCGACCCGAUCUAGAUGCAAAAAAGGGUGGCACAUGUAACCGAGGUGAUUUCUCCGAUGGCUUAAUUUGGACGCUCGCUGCCGGCACAAGUGCUGGAGGUAGGGUAUGAGAAGAGAGUGGAUGGGUGGAAGAGGGGAGCCUUCUAUAUGGGAUAAGAGCGUCGAGAGGGAUCAAGGGGGAUGGGGAGCGGUGCGCCACGGAGGUUGCGCUAGUGACGUGGCCACUUGAGCAACUAGGCGUCGUUUUACCGAGUGGGAUUGUGCAAGUCACACACGACCGGCCGAGCAUUCCGCCGGCCAGCCGAAUGUAAACGUUUCUCUUUUUUGAAUUAAUAGCAAAAUCAAAGGUCUACACAGAUGGAUCGGCUACGACUCAAAACCUAACACUUUAAGAAAAAACUAGAUGAUAUCCCUCUCGUUGUUACGUGAAUCGUUUGCAAUAUAUUUCAAUCACAUUUGAUUGUGUGAAAUGUAAAUGUUUAGAUCAAUAACAUGUGAACAAAAUUUAACAAUACAUAUGAGCUACUAUAUUUAAUUAUGUAUAGUUGCAAAAUAGUUAUUAACAUAAGUAGAAUAAUAGAAUGAAAGAUAUUUUCCCAUGCAUGGUUGCAUGUGGUGGUGGGUCUUCUCUCAUGCAUGGUGGCAUGUUGAGGUGAGCUUUAUCCCAUCCUUAAUUGUAUGAUAAUGUGGCACGCUUGCAUGUUGAGAUAUCUUACAUUUUUAAGAAGUUGGUUUCAAUUCUCUCAACAUGCAAAGUGUCCACCUCAAUGUCCCACUAAGCAAUGCAUUUAAGUCUUCUCUCCCACUAAGCCAUGCAAAAUCUAGCACAUAAAGUCAUGCAUUUAACUUAUAAAAUACAAUUAUUUUUGCAUUAGUCUAUGCCUGUAACACUGCCACAUCAUAUAUUCAUGUUAGUCAUCCUUCACAUUUUUGUUCAAAAUGACAUUAUUAACUGUAAUUCAAAAGUUUUUAUUCUAUUUUUAGAUAUUUUUUAUUGAUUUUCAAGCUUAUACUUUAGAUUUAGUUAUUUUUAUCAACUACUUACGCUUUUUUUAACAAAGUUACCGCAGAAACACGUGGGGAGAGAGUCAUCCUCACUACUCGAUUUCAGAGUUAUUUAUUAAAUCCAACUCAUCUUCUACUGCAAAACAUUUCUUAUUUCUAAUUUCUUACUCCUUUUCUCAUUACCAUGUGCCCCUCUCUUUUAAAUUGUUUAUUACACUACCAUUCCGCUGCAACGCGCAAGGUAUUGUCUAGUAUAACUUAGUGAUGAUGACUCUUUUAAGUAUAUAUAGGAUGAGGAUAAAAUCUGGCAUCUACAUCAUUUUGAUGCAUACAACCAUUUUUUUUAAACAAUGAGUAUCAAGGUCCGGUGCAUCAAACUUCAUAAUAAAUAGAAAGAAGCCACCACCAUUGACAAUAGGACUAUAUAUACUUACACGCAUAGCCUAUUAUUAAACCGCAAUCCAAGCAGAUUGUAAGUAACAUGUAGAACUGUCUCCCACUGCUUGCACCCAACACCCAUAGCUCAUAUACCUUCACAUGCUGCAAUAAGGACCAUGUACGUAUCCAUGUGUAGCUCCGAAAAUGAUGUGCAUAAAGUUCUAUAUUUUGACUCUGUUAAAAACACAGUCAAGCCGACAAUUUCAUAGAACCCAGGGCAAAUCACAAACUCCCGCCCAGAUAUGUGGUUUAACUUUAUUAUUAACCCCACCAAACAGGUUUGCCAUACUAGUAGGUAGCGGCAGGAUAAUCACAUAAAUCGUACUCCCUCCGUCCCAUAAUGUAAGACGUUUUUUUGACACUAGUGUAGUGUCAAAAAAUAUCUUGCAUUAUGCGACGGAGGGAGUAUAUCAUACCAAGGUGGCAAAAUAACAGGAAAUAAACGUAUGAUAACUUGUUUCAUCCUGAUAACAAAAUAACAUCACACUGGACUAUGACUCAGAACCUAGUUUACGAUACAAAAUCUCCAACCACACGAUUUCGCGUUCAGGCCAAUAACAGCCCCAAGACAUAGGCACAUAAUCCAAUGCGUUUGAUAUUUGAUAUCUGCAAAGAAAACGUAAGAUGAUCUUUAUUGAAUGGCAUCUAAUAAGGCCAGGUUUGGUUCAUCAUGGGCCCCUGAACCUUUACUACCUACAGUUGUUCAAAUUAUAAGACUUUCCAGUACAAUUUGCACCAGUCAAACAUUUCUGAGUUUGUCCUUCCAAAAGAGAAAAAACAUUUUGAAAUUUCUCCCGGCAAAGGGAAAAAUAUUCAUAAGUUUGAUUCAUAUGUUUUCUAGUCAUAUUUGUCAACAUCGGUUUGUCAAUUGUUGCUCAUCAUGCAAUUUCUUGUCUUAGGGUGGGAUCGCCAUGGAGAAGUACAAGCAAUUUCCGUCAUUGUUGGAACUUGCUCAAGAAGGAUGAGAACUGGAAGACGAUGAAUGAUGAGGCUCCACCGAAGAAAUCAAGGUCAAGUACCUCGUGCUUUUUGAAGGUUGACAAAGAAGAAGAAGAUGAUGAUAUUGAUGAGGGUGGCGAUGCUAAGAGGAGACUGAGGAGUCCUACUCCAUCGAGCAAGAGGGUGAAGGGUAUGCUUGAGAGGGAAGUGGAUGUCAUUUACACGAGGGAGAAGAUAUAUAAGUUGAUCACGACGAAGAAGGACAUGGUGGCGCGAAUCAUGCAAGCCAAGUUUGACUUGGUGGAGAAGAAAAGACAAGAUAAGUUGGUGAGGUGGCGAGAGAUGAAUGACGGCAAGAGGCACAAGGUUGACAUGGAGAAGGGUCAGCUUCUACUCAAGGAGAACCAAAUGAGGCAAUAGGGUGUGGCCGAUGAGAAUAUGAUCAUGAAGAUGGGUCCCGGUGGUUAGCCGUGAGUUAGCUAUGUUAGGAGGGGAGUUCAUGGUAGAACUGGAAUCUGGCUAAGGCUCCUCAAAGAUUGAUGAUGCCAUAUACAUGAAAUUUACUCCUAUUUUAACUUACAUAUUAUAUUUCCUCAUAAAUGAAACAACAGGGGAGGACGGGCUAGGAAUACUAUUACGAACAAGAGUACAUGAAACCCUUUCGUAUCUCGAGCUCUAGUGAGCCCUGAUGUUUUCAAAAUUACAAAUAAAUGUUUUAGAAGUAUCAAAAGAAUUGACAUGCAAACAUGGACGCCCAUCUGUACCUAUAAAUUGUCAUGUAAGGCACGCUAAAGACAAUAGGUAUGCAUUGUUUUCUAUUAUAAUCCAUGAAUAUAUGGAUCAAGGGAGACUUCUAAGGAUCAUAAGGAAUAACUAAGAUAGCCCCAAAGCUAUAAAUAGGUGAGGAAAAAGGAAGAAAAGCCCAAAGCGGUCAGAUCCAUGAUUGACAACUACAUCAAUGGCCAUAUCCAUACCAACCAGUUCAUGAUACCACACUGACGAGGGGGGUCUUCAAUGAUUCCAUGGCUCCAAUGAUGCGGAACAAGUGAGGCAUUUAGCUAGGCUCGAGACGUGCCAUCUUCUUGUGGAUGUUAGAGACGGCGAUGAACUUCCCUUGGAUCUGCUUGUAAUCUUUAUUUUUGUCAUAGGUUUAUUAGGUUUGGACUUAGUUAAUAACUUAUAUCUGGCUUUGGCCUUUGAAAAAUAAAUGAUCCAGUUGAAAUGUCGCUUUGGCCUUUGACAGACUAAAAUGAUCUAGUUGAAAUUAAAGAACCACAGAAUGAUUCUCUUUAUUCUCAUUCAUAGCAGAUAGCCCACACAUGUUGAGCGCGCGGAGCUCACAUAUGUAUACAUGCACACCACACGCCUAUGGAUGCAACAUGCAUGCUUAUUCACGAGCGACUGAUUUUAUCUCUAGAUCCACAGAGGCUGUUCCACGGCGGGGCAGUAUCGAACAUUGUGAAUGGUCGCCAAGUUGCACUGCCCCGGGGCGACGAGUAAUCUGACGAAGUCCCAUUGCAUCUCCCUGGGGCAUCCGGGCAGAUCGAUGAGGCCGCUCUCACCAACAUUGCCGGACCUCGGGUCCACAGGCUGAGACGGUACCGGCAACGCUAUGAAGUAGCGCAGCGCCUCGCACCGGCACUGCUGAGAAAUUUCUGCGAGCUCCUGGCAGCAAUACAACUUGGCGAGGUACGGUUUCCCAGGGGAGUAUAUCGACGCAGAUGUCAUCCAUUCGGGUAACUUUGACCCAGGGGUGAAGGUGCCACAAGUUUGUUGUAACACAUAGUCGCGGCAGUGUGGCAGAAGAUUGGUCCGAAAAGCCACCCCUGGGACGCAGCUGCCGGAG